RNAcentral lists this ribosomal RNA (3366 nucleotides) under marine metagenome. RNAcentral describes it as "eukaryotic LSU rRNA". The stretch from base 4 to 2747 matches the Rfam family "Eukaryotic large subunit ribosomal RNA". The record is from RNAcentral.
UUUCAAGCUGAAGUCAAAUUAGAAUACUUGCUGAACUUAAGCAUAUUAAUAAGCAAAGGAAAAGAAAUCAACUGAGAUUGCCUUAGUAAUGGCGAAUGAACCGGCAAAAGCUCAUUGCUGAAGCGUGUUAGAUUUACUUCUGACAUGCAUUGUAGCAUUUGGGGUAACUACUGUAUGGUGCCUGUUCGUGUGAGUUCCUUUGAUCAGGGCUUUAACCAUAGAAGGUGCUAGUCCUAUAAUCACGAAUAGUUCUGUGCCGUACAUUGUCUACCUUUCGAGUAGCGUAGUUUGAGAUUGCUACGCCAACGUGGGACGUAAACUUGUUCCAAAGCUAAAUAUUAUAACGAGACCGAUAGCGAACAAGUACCGUGAGGGAAAGUUGAAAAGCACUCUGAAGAGAGAGUUAAAUAGUACGUAAAACCGUACAGAAGAAAACGAAUGGCCGCAUUCAUCAGAUUACUUUGGAUUCAAUUCGAUUUCUAUAUGAUGGUAAUACAUGUUGAUUUGGAACUUCAACAGUCCAUUGAUAUGUUCUUGCCUAGAAUCGGAUGCAUUUUCAAAGUAUUAACUGAACCUGGAUCUAUAACAUUACAGCUAGUCGAAUCAGUCUAUUUUGGUAGCGACUUUUAGUCGUGUUAAAAAUAUGACUUGCAUAAAUAACAAAUUCGACUUGGCGUUAUAGGUAAACUGACGUGUUCUUUGAUUUCAGUACUUUCGAGUACGGCACGCCAUGAGCAUUGUUUGUGUUACAUGAGUAACUAAUAUCUAAACAAUAUUAGUUUUAUUCAUUGUCAAUGCCUAAUGUUUUGUGGCUGUCAAUGAAAUCGGCAAGUCAACAGGAGUUUUGAAUGCCGAGUUAUUCGACCCGUCUUGAAACACGGUCUAAGGAGUUCACUGCAUGUGCAAGAGUUCGGCUGUAUGAAAAGCCUUGCUCGUAAUGAAAGUAAAGAACAUUCUUGCAAUGUUUGAAGUGUGAUUUCUGUCAUCUGGUGCAAAUCAUGACAAUGAACGCAACACUGACAGGUUCUAUUGCCGCUGGCAAAGAGCUUAGUAAGAGUAUAUGCAAUGAGACCCGAAAGAUGGUGAACUUAACGUGUGUAGAAUGAAGCCAGGGGAAACCCUGGUGGAAGUUCGUAGCGGUUCUGACGUGCAAAUCGAUCGUCAAACAUGCGUUAAGGGGCGAAAGACUAAUCGAACCAUCUAGUAGCUGGUUCCGUCCGAAGUUUCCCUCAGGAUAGCUGGCAUUCAAUUUUCACAGUUAUAUCCGGUAAAGCGAAUGUUUAGAGGCAUUGGGCGUAAAAUACGCUCAACCUAUUGACAAACUUUAAAUGGGUAUGAAGUUCAUUUUUCUACUUCAUUGAGAAUGAACAGCGAAUGUGAGUGCCAAGUGGGCCAUUUUUGGUAAGCAGAACUGGCGCUGUUGGAUGCACAAAACGUCAAGAUAAAGAGCCAGAUGGUCUCGCUCAUCAGAUACCAUAAAAGGUGUUGGUCGAUAUAGACAGCAGGACGGUGGCCAUGGAAGUCGGAAUCCGUUAAGGAGUGUGUAACAACUCACCUGCCGAAUCGACUAGUCCUAAAAAUGGAUGGCGCUCGAGCGAGCCUCUUAUACUUGACUGUUACGAUACAACAAGCCAUUAACGGACAUCAUGUCGUAACAAGUAGGACGGUUGAUAUGGUUGCGUCGAAGGCUAACACGUGAGUGUGGCUUGAGCAGUCAUAUGUACAGAUCUUAGUGGUAGUAGCAACUAUUCAAAUGAGAACUUUGAAGACUGACGUGGAGAAAGGUUCCAUGUGAACAGCUAUUGGACAUGGGUCAGUCAGUCCUAAGAUGCGCUCGAAAGAGGGUUCCGAACGAGGAAUAUCUAUAUUCAUAUCAUAUUUAUAUUCCAUCAAAUCGAAAGGGAAACAAGUUAAUAUUCUUGUACUAAGUGUCGGAGAUUGUUUGAUUUCGUGUCAAACAUAUGUGGUAACACAAACAAGCUCAAAUACAUCACAAGUGGUCCUGGAAAGAGUUUUCUCUUCUUUGUUACUUCAUCAGACGACCCUGGAAUCAGUUCAACUGGAGAUAGGGUUCAAAUGAAGGUAAAGAGUAGCCGUUCUUGCUACUUCCUCGGUGCAUCAUUUGUGAUCCUUGAAAAUUUGAGCGAGAUAUUCAAUUUCGCACUUAUCUGUACUCUAAACCGCAUCAGGUCUCCAAGGUGAAAAGCCUCUAGUCAAUUAGAACAAGGUAGCACAAGGGAAGUCGGCAAAAUCGAUCGGCAACUUCGGGAUAACGAUUGGCUCUAAGUGCUAGGGUGUUCGGGCUUGAUGAUAAAGCAGUAGACUUGCUAUUGGAGCUGAGCUUUCGGAUGCAGCAAUGUGUCUGAUCGUUCGGACUAGUGGCUUGUCUUGCUGUGGAAUCGUUUUGCUACGGUAUGCGGUUCGCUUGCGGGCCGUAUUACUUCGGACAUCGUUUAAUAGCAAACUUAGAACUCGCUGCGUCUAGGGGAAUCCGACUGUCUAAUUAAAACAGAGCUUUGCGAUUGGCCGGAAAACUUGGUGUUGACGCAAAGUGAUUUCUGCCCAGUGCUCUGAAUGUUAACGUGAAGAAAUUCAAAUAAGCGCGGGUAAACGGCGGGAGUAACUAUGACUCUCUUCUGGUAGCCAAAUGCCUCGUCAUCUAAUUAGUGACGCGCAUGAGGGAGCGAUGCAGACACCUCCACGCGGUGCUCCUGGAAAGUUGAAGGGGACUAAGUUUCCCACUCAGCAACUAAUCAUCUGUACAAACGAAGCCGAAGCCCGGCGCAAACUCAGGUCUGAUCGUCUUGUCCACCCAACGGUGGCAAGCGAUGACUCAAAGUUAACCGUUGGUUUUCGUGCGUCGUCACCUAUGCUCACCCAUCAAUCCGAACAAAGUCCACUUGGACAAAAAGGAUCGGGUGAGGGAGUCUCUGCUCUGCAGAGGAGACCAGGUCAUUGGAAUGACGAAGAGAUUGAAGAGCUGAGUAGACUGGUCAGUAGCAAUAUUGGCCCCCAGGGUAAAAUCUCCUGGGUAGCUGUUGAAAAAGCUUGGAAAGAUCUCAACCUCGGUGAAAGAUCUAAAGGAAGCCUAUGUGCAAAGUGGCGUGACAUUAAGAACAGGUCAGCCACCCAGAUGGUUCCUGACGACUCUAAGGAAUCUCAAGGAAAUGAUAAUGUAACAUCAUCUGACAGUGUAACAACGGACACUACUGUCCCUACCCAAGUUCAGGUUGACAGUAGUAGCACUGCGGAUAAAGAAAAUGAAGACAAACAGUCAUCUGGAACUGUCGAUGCAGAGACUGUCAAUGUCAAUAUUGAUAUCAAGCAGAUAUUCAAUAAAUAUAUGAAAAUAUCGAAAAAGAUUGG